Molecule: long non-coding RNA, 2647 nt
Organism: Hyla sarda
Lineage: Eukaryota; Metazoa; Chordata; Amphibia; Anura; Hylidae
Exons: 4
Source: RefSeq, a predicted model, not a curated record
CUGGGAUAUUUCAAAGAAAUAGUCAUACCAGCAGAUCUUAAAGAAGACCUGUGGGCAACCCUUUAAAGUAUAUUGCAUUAUCAAUAAAAAGUUUAAGGUGGGGGGCGUGGCUUGGCACGCUGGAGGGAAGACAUGGCUAGAGUGAGCUCCUGCUAGGGGUGAGCAUUUAGGGCUAUUGUGCUACACCAUGGGAGGCAGAAACAAGUACAAAAAGCACCCACUGCUCUCCCAGGAGACCGGGGACCCGCCGCGCUCCAUCACAGACUUCUUCCCUCCUCAUCCUCAGUGUACGGACUCCGGCUCUGCUCCGUGCCAUGCUGCAGCUGCGAUGGCCGAAACCGGAAGUUCGGCUCCCACCUCUGAAAGCGCGGCACGCGGUCGGGAGAAGGCUGCGCACCCAACAGACACCCUGCCUGCUGUCAUGGGUCCUCCUGAUGGGCCCGUAGGACCUGACCUCGAGAGGGCACGAGACAACAGGGAAGGUAGGAGCAGUUCACCCACCUCCACCUCCCUGCUAGCUACAGCCCCUGCCCCAGAAUGGCUGCCGUCAGUGUAUCCCCUCAGCAACAGUCAGGAGACACUGCAUCAUUCCCAGCACCAGGCUUCUCCUGCUAACACUGAAGUGCCCCAGGCCACUAGCAAGGACUGUCUCCCCACUCCAUCUCUCCUCCAGUUGCAGUGGAGACAGGAGGACUAUCCGCCUCUGGAGACCCCCCCAAACCCAGACCACUGUGCAGCUGGGCCUGAUCUCUGAGGCAUGCACUUUUCAAAACAAGCCUCCUGCUGCCCAAGGAUUGAGAGCUCACCCUCAGCAAACUAUGGACUCUCCUUUACUAUCUGUGAGGGGAUCACCCUCCUCAGAAGAUAGCCCCCAUGUGUCAUACAGGUGGGGAUCACCUGACCAUCCUGCUGCAGCCCCAAGAUAUGCCUCGGCUCCUGAGCCUGAUCGAGUCCCGGAACCGCCACCUAGAAAUGUCCUGGACUAGGCGAAUUAAAUGGAAGUCGCUGAUUGCAGAUCAGAUGGCAGCUCCUGUGAUUCCUCUAAGGAUACAGAUACGCCUGACUACUGGGGUGCCAGCCCUCUGGCUAAAAAGAAGCUGUUCAAGACCCCUAUGAAGGGGACCGCUCCUAGAUCUCAUAACUCUAGUUACUCUUCUUCUGCCUGCAUCCUCUAAACCCCGGACCUCUCCAUUGCCCCGUGACUUGCAUUUACCGUCUGCACAGCUUAACUUCAGCACAGCUUUACCAUCUCCAGAAAUGGCGGCUAACACUCUCAAAAGUCAUUCUGAGCUCCAAGCUUUACUAGCUCUUCUCCCGACGAAAGCUGACAUGUUAACCCUUGCCACAGACUUGAAGAUGUCCUGGAUGAAAGACAUCCAACCUGUUCAAAAAGAAGUUGGGCACCUACAAUCCAGGGUGAAAAAAUUGGAAGACUUUACCAGCUAAGUCACCUCACAGCUGCAGGCUCUCCAAACUUCCACUGCUGCCCUCUCACUGCAACAUGCCUCCACUGUCGACCAUACGGAUGAUAUGGACAAUAGAAGUAGACGGAACAACAUAAGGAUAAAAGGCCUGCCGGAGAAAAUCCUGCUGCAAGAUCUGUCAGCGACUUUGCAGAGACUUUUUAAUGAAGUCCUCCAGAAGCCACCCGAUCAUGUCAUUGAACUCGAGAGGGCACACAGAGCAUUGAAAGCUAAGGACCCGAAUCCAAACAAGCCUCGUGAUGUCAUAUGCAGGGUGCACCACUUUUUGCAGAAGGAUGAGAUCAUGAGGAAAGCCCGAGUGCUAAAAAACCUCACAUACAAUGGGACUACCAUACAACUGUAUCCCAAUCUCUCGCUCUGCACACUCCGCCUCAGAGCGACUCUGAAACCUCUGUUGCAGCUGCUCCAAAACGCUAAAAUUGUAUAUAGAUGGGCUUUCCCUUUUGCCUUGAUUGCAAGACAUGGAGACACUACGGCCACCCUGAGACGCCCGGAGGAUAUCGCUCAUUUUCUCCGCACUUUCAAGCUCUCACCAGUGGCGCUACCAGAAUGGGAAGCAAUGUUUUUUGCACCUGCACCCUGUCAACCAGACUCUAGACCUUCGGCCUCAGGUGGUCCCCGACUGUCCCAACCGCUGCCCCCGCUGCCUCAAAGACAGAAACGAAAGACAUGACCACCAUUUUUGGACUACUGAGGAUCUGGUUUGAUCUCCCCGAAACUUCCUGCAUAGUUUUCUCUACGUUCUGGGACACUCGAAGUCUCCUGCUGUAGUUCUCCCCCUGGUCUACACGUUCUGGUGGGGCGGUGCCUCUCGGACCGGGCAAUGGAGCAACUCCUGGGCAUCUGAGUAGCAUCAACUAGAUAAGGACUUCAGAGGAAAACAUGAUCACCCGGCGCUGUCUGGAACAAGAACACAUAGAUCUGUAGAUACUUCAGGUCUGAAGAUGAAAUAUGAAAACAUGAAGUCUGUUGAAGCUUAUCUGUUCACAGUUUUCUUUAAUGGUUAGAUACAGUCAUUUUUUACAGUGGUCAGAACUUAAAGACGAAUGAUUAAGAAGACAGCAGGGCAAAAUCUCUAUAUUUCUAUCAAGAAACAUUGUGUGAUGUUAUGGCAUAGGUGUUUCUAUUUGUAGGUUCAUAUAGAAAAUAAAGGUGAACCUUAU